CCUACGGGAGGCAGCAGUGAGGAAUAUUGGUCAAUGGCCGAGAGGCUGAACCAGCCAAGUCGCGUGAGGGAAGACGGCCCUACGGGUUGUAAACCUCUUUUGUCGGGGAGCAAAGAGAGUCACGUGUGACUCAUUGAGAGUACCCGACGAAAAAGCAUCGGCUAACUCCGUGCCAGCCGCCGCGGUAAUACGGGGGAUGCGAGCGUUAUCCGGAUUUAUUGGGUUUAAAGGGUGCGCAGGGGGAGGUGCAAGUCAGCGGUAAAAUUGCGGGGCACAACGCCGUACUGCCGUUGAAACUGCAUCCCUUGAGUGCGCGAGAAGUAUGCGGAAUGCGUGGUGUAGCGGUGAAAUGCAUAGAUAUCACGCAGAACUCCGAUUGCGAGGGCAGCAUACCGGCGCUCAACUGACGCUCAUGCACGAAAGCGUGGGUAUCGAACAGGAUUAGAUACCCCUUAGUC
This 458-nucleotide ribosomal RNA is filed under the name uncultured bacterium. Its description in RNAcentral is "partial 16S ribosomal RNA". It matches the Rfam family "Bacterial small subunit ribosomal RNA", at positions 338 to 795 of the family's 1533-position model. The record is from RNAcentral.